Long non-coding RNA from Homo sapiens (human), 3878 nucleotides. Ensembl annotates it as macrophage interferon regulatory lncRNA. Its record names the gene MAILR. The record is from Ensembl. NCBI's taxonomy places the organism in Eukaryota, Metazoa, Chordata, Mammalia, Primates, Hominidae.
GGAGGGGGACGGAAGAGGAAGGAGGACUGAGCCCGGGAGAGAGAGGGGAGGGGUCGGCGCGCGACCGGGUCAUGCAGGUGCAGACUGGCCGGUCGCUUCCCGCCCUCCAGCCACCCGCAGCUCCCCGGCAGGCGAAGGGCGGCCGCGCGGGUGUGGGCCGAGAGAGGGAGGCGGCUCGGCUGGAGCGCGCCGUCCGCCCGACCCCCGCCGCCUCUCGGGCGCCUGCGCUCACGCUGCGGGGCCCAGCGCAUUGUGAGCCGGGUCGAGCUCCACGCUGGCAGCGUCUGAGAGCUGUCCUGGGCCGGAGGUGGCGCGAACCCUGUGCGGCCUAGAGUGGGCCUGGGGAAGCCAGCUGCCAUGUUCUGAGUACUCUCUGGAAGGGCCUGCAUGGCAAGGAACUGAUGUUUCCAGCCAGCAGCCAGCAAGAACUGCAAGCCUUGUGAAUGAGCUUGGAAGCAGAUCCUCCCCUCACUCAAGCCAUGAUAUGACAACAGCCUGAGACCCAGAGGACACAAACCACAGUCAAAAAAGGUCUUCCUGAGUUCUGAAGGUCAAGCAAUUAGAAUUUUCUCAGGCUUGUAGAAGAGUGGAAUUCUGGAAACCAGUCUUCGCCUCAGGGGAGCAUCUGUUGGAAGUUCUUAGGGAUGCUCAGGCAUAUGGCCUCAGAAACAUGGGCUAUUGAGACAGAGAAAAAGACAACUCUGGAAGGAGAGAGCCUGGCCUUACAGAAGACAUCUGAACUAUCAAUCAACAGAAAUCUCACGUAUAGUUGAAGAAUCAGAAAUCUGAGCGUAGGAAGAAGUGGGUUAGCCCUGGAGAAAGGAAAAGGAGGAUCAUGGUUCUCUGCAAAGAGCUGGAAGCUAAAAAGCAGGCUGUGUUUACUUACCAACCAGGACUCAGUGGGAUCUUUGCCAGCUUCCAAUAUGGCCUUAAAAGUAUAUGAAAUCCAAGAAAUAUUUCUGCAAAGCAAGAGAUCUUCACUGCUUUAUUUUCCACCACCUGAAUCCUUGCAGUGAGUGUAGUGUGUAUCUAAUCAAUCUAUUAAAAAAUACUUCAAAAGUUCUAUAUAUGUAUCAAUAUUUAAUAUUGUUUUUACAUUAUUUAAAUGUUUUUCUAAAUAAUAUUAUAGUAUAUAUAUUCUGAAGCAUUCUAUUCAGUGACAAAGAAUGAUGUUUAGACAAUUUACAUUUAUAUAGGAAAACUCAUAACCUGAAUAUGUCCUGUGGGAUCAAACCACUGACCCUUCCAGGGUGGAAGAGACCUAAGGUAGUCAGCUUCCAUCAAGCGGCCAGUUGGUCUCAUUGAGGAAUGGUGUCACAUCAAGGGCUCAGUGUUGGUCUCUGUUGCAGAUAUAUCAGACAUUUGAUAAUGGCAGCAGCUGGAUCAGUCUUGGUAAGGGUUGGAAGUAUAGUUAGUCCUCACUUUGCAUGGUCCCAAUAUGCACAAAUCCUAGUUACCACCAUUUAGUUAAAUCACACCAGAACCCCAACAACAUGGUUCAAAUUUCAGCUACAACGUUAUUAACUGUGCACAAUUACACAAAGUACAAACCUCACUGUCAGCUCUUUAGUCCACAAAUCACUAUGUAAAUAACAGAUGCAUAGCAUGAUCAAUAACCAAUCACACCUCUCCUUUCAAAGUCCACUAAUGAUUGGCCACUGCACAUAUGUUCAGUUCCUACACAGCAAAGCGUGUAGUUGUGUUGCUGAUUUUCCUGUGAAUGAAGCCACAUGAUGGUUUACAAUAAUGGAUACUCAAAAGAGGAAAUUGGCCAACAAAGAUGAAAGCGCAGAAAAAAGUCCAAAAAGUAGUAAUGCUAGAAAUGAACUCCAAAUUGAAUGAGUUACAGAAAAACAGUUCACUGUGAGAAUGUGGCCACUGCAUCAUUCAAGAGGAUAUGCAGCCAGAGGAACUUAGCAAAGGCAAACUUAACAUAAAUGAGGAAGGAAGUGUGGCAAAAAGCAUGCUGUCUCAGAGGAAGCGGUCCUGGCAGAAACUUCACAUUGAAGCAACUCUGGGAAAUUUUUCAUGACGCUGAAAACACAAAGGAUAAAAUGUUGGGAGCUGAUCCAGUCUUAGAAAGGAGAACAAUUCAUCACGUCAGAGAAAAGAUGCUCUCUCCAUGUCGUAAGUUACACAAGAAGGAAAAAAGGCUGGGCGUGGUGGAUCACUUCUGUAAUCCUAGCACUUUGGGAGGCUGAGAAGCUCUGAGGAGUGAAUCCACAAUACAGUUCAAAGAGAGAUUUAAAUUGCUAAUUUCCCGGCACUGGAAUGUGGGGAAAGAUUGUCACAGAUUUAGCAUGAAAGCCAUGUAUUUAACAUUCCUAUGUAAUAACCCUCUCUUAAAUUGCAUUUUGGUUUGAGAAACAGCAAGAACAAAUUCAGCAUUAGGGGGAAACUUUGCUGUUGAUCUCAAAGGGAAUGAGAAUUUAGGGAGCACCUCUGCCCACCAGGAAGGAGCUUUCUCUUGAGUCUCCCACAUGACUGUGUACUAUGGAUCACAUUGGAAGAACUUCUCUUUUUCCUAAUGCUGUCUGAGUUUUGCAUUUUGGUGCCAGAACAGGGAAGUGAAGGGAUACAUAAGAGACACACAUAAUAGAAAUGUAAAAGACAAGCAAUACCACCAGACGAUAGAUGUAAUUUGGAACAAAGAUAUUUUUAUUUGCCUAAGGCUCAGAAAGUCGUGCCAGGCAAUGCUGGAAGGAAUUGGUUGGCUUCCUCUCCCAAACCACUUCCUCAGUGCUCAUCCUCUUUCAGGUGGACAAGAUAUGGCAUUUUGACUGCUAGCAAAUGUCACUGUGACAUUUCAAUGGCACAAUUGGUGACAAUUCAGCCAAUUUUUGUUGGGCACCCUCCACAUGCCCCAGGGUCUGGGCUCAGCCCUUUACGUACGUGGGCUCAUUGAUUCUUCCAUGUUUUCUAGAAUGUGAUUUUACCCUGGCUGGCACAGAGUAAAUGCCCAAAGAAUGGUAGCUAUUGUUUUUAAUCAUCAUUAUUAAUUUUAUAAAUAACUUCCAUAUCAGGUGAUGGGAAAAUUUCAGACUUUGAUUUGGGCCUUGGAAAACAGGUUCAGUUUCAGUAGAUGGAGGUAAAAGGAGGCAAAGAGCGACCUUACGUAAAUCCAAGGCUGAAGGAAGGAGGCUCUAAGGGGUGUGUGGGUGAUUAGGAGUAAAGUAUCUUGUCUGAAAUGAAGAGUUUCUAUACAGCAUGCUUAUUUGGAGUCAUGCCUAACAAGAUUACUUUGGGUCUAAUUUUGGAAGCUUGGUACUCCAGGGAGCUUGGACAUGAAUUUAAAGACAAUGGGAACUCACAUUUAAGUUUCUGAAACAGCCAGGCGUGGUGGCUCAUGCCUGUAAUCCCAGCACUUCGGGAGGCUGAGGCAGGUGGAUCACCUGAGAUCAGGAGUUUGAGACCAGUCUAACCAACAUGGAGAAACCCCAUCUCUACUUAAAAGAAAAAAAAAAUACAAAAUUAGCCGGGUAUGGUGGUGCAUGCCUGCAAGGGAGGAGACCACCCCUUAUAUUGUCUUAUGCCCAAUUUCUGCCUCCAAAGAAAGAAGAAGUAAAAACUAAAAGUCAGAAAUGGAAUUCACAAGCAGACAGCCUGGCGCCACACUCUGGGUCUGGUAGUUAAAGAUCAACCCCUGACCUAAUUGGUUAUUUGCAUAAGAAAAAGCACUGUGAAGAUCCCUGUCCUGUUCUGUUCCAUUCUAAUUACCGGUACAUGCAGCCCCCAGUCAUGUACCCCCUGCUUGCUCAAUCGAUCACGACCCUCUCACGUGGACCCCGUUAGAGUUGUGAGCCCUUAAAAGGGACAGGAAUUGCUUAUUCAGGGAGCUCGGUUGUUGGAGACAUGAGUCUUGCCGAAGCUCCUGGCCA